This 66-nucleotide transfer RNA is filed under the name Gekko vittatus (white-lined gecko). Lineage: Eukaryota; Metazoa; Chordata; Lepidosauria; Squamata; Gekkonidae. The record is from RNAcentral.
CAAAAAAUAGUUUAAUUAAAAUGCUAGUUUUGGGGACUAGAGAUAGGUGUAAGCACUUUUUUUUGA